RNAcentral lists this ribosomal RNA (497 nucleotides) under uncultured bacterium. RNAcentral describes it as "partial 16S ribosomal RNA". It matches the Rfam family "Bacterial small subunit ribosomal RNA", at positions 28 to 507 of the family's 1533-position model. The record is from RNAcentral.
GAUGAACGCUGGCGGCGUGCCUAAUACAUGCAAGUCGAGCGAACGGACGAGAAGCUUGCUUUUCUGAUGUUAGCGGCGGACGGGUGAGUAACACGUGGAUAACCUACCUAUAAUACUGGGAUAACUUCGGGAAACCGGAGCUAAUACCGGAUAAUAUUUUGAACCGCAUUGUUCAAAAGUGAAAGACGGUCUUGCUGUCACUUAUAGAUGGAUCCGCGCUGCAUUAGCUAGUUGGUAAGGUAACGGCUUACCAAGGCAACGAUGCAUAGCCGACCUGAGAGGGUGAUCGGCCACACUGGAAAUGAGAAACGGUCCAGACUCCUACGGGAGGCAGCAGUAGGGAAUCUUCCGCAAUGGGCGAAAGCAUGACGGAGCAACGCCGCGUGAGUGAUGAAGGUCUUCGGAUCGUAAAACUCUGUUAUUAGGGAAGAACAUAUGUGUAAGUAACUGUGAACAUCUUGACGGUACAUAAUCAGAAAGCCACGGCUAACUACGUG